RNAcentral lists this ribosomal RNA (649 nucleotides) under uncultured bacterium. RNAcentral describes it as "bacterial SSU rRNA". It matches the Rfam family "Bacterial small subunit ribosomal RNA", at positions 43 to 688 of the family's 1533-position model. The record is from RNAcentral.
CAGGCCUAACACAUGCAAGUCGAGGGGUAACAGGAAAGCUUGCUUUUGCUGACGACCGGCGCACGGGUGCGUAACGCGUAUGCAACCUACCUCAUACAGGAGAAUAGCCCUUGGAAACGAGGAUUAAUACUCCAUGGUAUCAUUCUUUCGCAUGUUAGAAUGAUUAAAGAAUUUCGGUAUGAGAUGGGCAUGCGUCCCAUUAGCUUGUUGGUGAGGUAACGGCUCACCAAGGCAACGAUGGGUAGGGGGCCUGAGAGGGUGGUCCCCCACACUGGUACUGAGACACGGACCAGACUCCUACGGGAGGCAGCAGUGAGGAAUAUUGGACAAUGGGGGCAACCCUGAUCCAGCCAUGCCGCGUGCAGGAAGACUGCCCUAUGGGUUGUAAACUGCUUUUAUACAGGAAGAAACUGCGCUACGUGUAGCGUACUGACGGUACUGUAAGAAUAAGGAUCGGCUAACUCCGUGCCAGCAGCCGCGGUAAUACGGAGGAUCCAAGCGUUAUCCGGAAUCAUUGGGUUUAAAGGGUCCGUAGGUGGUCUAUUAAGUCAGAGGUGAAAGCCUAUCGCUCAACAGUAGAACUGCCUUUGAUACUGAUGGACUUGAGUUAUUGUGAAGUAGUUAGAAUAUGUAGUGUAGCGGUGAAAUG